Molecule: long non-coding RNA, 250 nt
Organism: Cynocephalus volans (Philippine flying lemur)
Lineage: Eukaryota; Metazoa; Chordata; Mammalia; Dermoptera; Cynocephalidae
Exons: 3
Source: RefSeq, a predicted model, not a curated record
ACAGCAGCACGCGGGGGACUCUCCUGUGACUCAGCGCCUCCGGAGGCCGGACAGGCCCCGCCCACGAGAAGAUGACCGGUAAGGGGAUCUUAAGCCUUGACUUCGUGUCAUCAGCACCACACUCUCCCAAGUGAGCCACGGGCCAGCCCACAUUUUGGCUGUUAUGAAUAAAGCUGCUAUGAAGAGUCAUGUACAAGUCUUCGUGUGGACACAUGUUGUCAUUUCUCUCAGAUCCUGCUUUUGUUGUUGU